GGCUACAGGAAAGUUGCAAUUAAAAUGAAAAAGGUCGACACGGUGAACGUCAAGAGUCAAGCUUGUCUCGGCCAUGUAAUUGAGCAGCUAAUCUUGACAGGUCGCGUCGAGAUGCCUGUAAAAAUAUCUUUUACCAAACCUAAGUUUGGGCAAGCUUCCCUUGGCGCAAAGCGCAGGUAAGCCAUUCCGCAGAUCGAGAGCUAACAUGGAAUCACUAACACAAGCUUGGUCUAUUACGAAGGACCGGCGCUUGUGAAUUCCUGUUUUCAAUCUCCACGAGACGACUCAUCAGGCGACCCACGGACCCUCCGUCCCAUCCGUGUCUCCAUUCUUGACUCCACGUAGCCACAGAACAAAGUUAACCCAUGUUCACGCACAUAGGCACACGAAAAAUCAUCGGAACUAUCCUGUCCAAUUACCAUGGCACGCCUCGUCAACCCGCGCUCAGUAAAGGCACCGCGCGUUGCGGGAUGCCGCAUACCAUUCAAUAACCUUUUCCUCUCGUUUAGUAAUUGGGAAACAGCUCACGAGUCACACGCCCGCUCUCUACCAAGCUACUCUUCCUUGACCUAUUUGGUGGGGAAAAUGUAAAAAAUUCACCAACAAUCGUACGCAUUAGUCUCGACUUCUUGCGGUAGCAGCGCCUCACAUAUUUCCGCAUCGCCCCAAGGGAUCGUCGUCAUCCCUCGGCUACAGCGGCCCAGCGGUGAGCACAGCAAGGUGACCGCACCGCAGCUGAAGAGUUCUGAAGCCAACCCGCCAGCUAGGUGAAGGACUCGGCAGCAAGCUAAUUUAAAGGCCCAGGAAAAACACGUAUUGUUGAGCGAUUUCCAUGUUUCCAUGGUCAGCUGCCGGAUCUGGAGCUCCAUGGCCUCAGGUGCAAAUUGCCAUCGCUCGGUUGUGUUUGCUUGCAGCAAGAGGCCAGCUUCCGGGUUAUGCAGCGCCUCAGCGCCCUUUAUGUGUCAAGCUCGCUCCUACGCGUGCACGUGUGUGUUUCUCCCCCAUGGUCAUCAAGCUGAACACGUCCCCAAUCGUCAGCACAUUGAAAAUUUAUUGCAGUGCAAGGUCAACGACUAGGUCAGCCAACAAAUCCUGGCGUCCACCAACCAACCCCGUGACAAUCUAGCUCAUUUAUCCGCGUCUAGAGUGAUCAAGCACCCGCGAAUUCAGAUAUCGCAGAACAACAGAGCUUCCAGAGGUCUCUUCCCUCACCGCAGGUAUCCGUGGCUGAGUUAUUGAUGAAGCGAAAGUACCUCCAGCCGCGAUUGGUGCGGCCGGCAGCCUGAUUGGCGGACAGAAACUGGCUGUGCCCCGAGCCGCG
This 1321-nucleotide long non-coding RNA is filed under the name Volvox carteri. RNAcentral describes it as "long non-coding RNA (VCAR_LNC000785)". Lineage: Eukaryota; Viridiplantae; Chlorophyta; Chlorophyceae; Chlamydomonadales; Volvocaceae. The record is from RNAcentral.